This 300-nucleotide ribosomal RNA is filed under the name Triticum aestivum (bread wheat). RNAcentral describes it as "partial small subunit ribosomal RNA". Lineage: Eukaryota; Viridiplantae; Streptophyta; Magnoliopsida; Poales; Poaceae. The record is from RNAcentral.
AUGUUCACAUAUUCAGAAAAUGUUUGCAUUUUCAAAAAAUAUUUUUGUUUUCUAGUUUUAUUCAAUUGUUUCAAAAAGUAUUCCUGUUUUAAAAAUAUCACAUAUUUAAUUUGUUUCGUCUUUCCAAAAAUUGUUCGCAUUUUGAAAUCUUAUUCGGGAGUUUCAAAAAAUGUUUGCGCUUUCAACUUUUCAGAAAUGUUCCUGUAUUCAUAUUUUGUUCAUAGAUCCAAAAAAAGUUCUACUUUCAAUUUUUCUGUGGUGUCUCGGAAAAUGUUCCGUUGUUUUAGAAUUGUUCAGUGA